AAAAUCCAUCACUAGGAUCAUUUAAAUUCAUCAUCAUUCUUCUCAAAAUUCUAGAAAAUCUUAGGAGGAAGAAAUAAUCUAGAGAGAGAAAGUAGAGAGAAAAAAUAGAGAGAGAAAGUCCAAUUAUAGAGAGAGAAAAUACUAGUUCAGGCUGAAGGGAGAGAGGGAAGAGAGAAAAACUCUCUUUCUCAUAUUUUAUUAUUUAUAUCAUUAUUUAUUUAUUUAUUUAAUUUUUUUCUUUUUUUUCUUUCUUCUUCUUUUUUUUUCUUCACAAGGG
RNAcentral lists this long non-coding RNA (277 nucleotides) under Elaeis guineensis (African oil palm). RNAcentral describes it as "long non-coding RNA (EGUI_LNC046601)". Lineage: Eukaryota; Viridiplantae; Streptophyta; Magnoliopsida; Arecales; Arecaceae. The record is from RNAcentral.